This 510-nucleotide ribosomal RNA is filed under the name uncultured bacterium. RNAcentral's name for it is "partial 16S ribosomal RNA". It matches the Rfam family "Bacterial small subunit ribosomal RNA", at positions 28 to 523 of the family's 1533-position model. The record is from RNAcentral.
GACGAACGCUGGCGGCGUGCCUAAUACAUGCAAGUCGAGCGGACUUAAAAAGCUUGCUUUUUAAGUUAGCGGCGGACGGGUGAGUAACACGUGGGCAACCUGCCUGUAAGACUGGGAUAACUUCGGGAAACCGGAGCUAAUACCGGAUAAUCCUUUCCUACUCAUGUAGGAAAGCUGAAAGACGGUUUACGCUGUCACUUACAGAUGGGCCCGCGGCGCAUUAGCUAGUUGGUGAGGUAAAGGCUCACCAAGCCGACGAUCUGUAGCUGGUCUGAAAGGACGACCAGCCACACUGGGACUGAGACACGGCCCAGACUCCUACGGGAGGCAGCAGUGGGGAAUUUUGGACAAUGGACGCAAGUCUGAUCCAGCCAUUCCGCGUGCAGGAUGAAGGCCCUCGGGUUGUAAACUGCUUUUGUACGGAACGGAAAGGUCUCUCUUAAUACGGGGGACUCAUGACGGUACCGUAAGAGUAAGCACCGGCUAACUACGUGCCAGCCGCCGCCGUAA